GACGAACGCUGGCGGCGUGCUUAACACAUGCAAGUCGAACGGAAAGGCCCUGCUUUCGUGGGGUGCCCGAGUGGCGAAGGGGUGAGUAACACGGGAGUAACCUGCCCUUGACUUUGGGAUAACUUCAGGAAACUGGGGCUAAUACCGGAUAGGAGCGCCUGCUGCAGGGUGGGGGUCGGAAAUUUUAGGCGGUUGGGGAUGGACUCGCGGCUUAUUAGCUUGUUGGUGGGGUAGUGGCUUACCAAGGCUUUGACGGGUAGUCGGCCUGAGAGGGUGACCGGCCACCAUGGGACUGAGGUACGGCGCAGACUCCUACGGGAGGCAACGGUGGGGAAUAUUGCACAAUGGGCGGAAGCCUGAUGAAGCAACGCCGCGUGCGGGAUGACGGCCUUCGGGUUGUAAACCGCUUUCGCCUGUGACGAAGCGUUAGUGACGGUAAUGGGUAAAGAAGCACCGGCUAACUACGUG
This 468-nucleotide ribosomal RNA is filed under the name uncultured bacterium. RNAcentral's name for it is "partial 16S ribosomal RNA". It matches the Rfam family "Bacterial small subunit ribosomal RNA", at positions 28 to 507 of the family's 1533-position model. The record is from RNAcentral.